AUAUCAGUCAUGCAUAGCAUAUCAAUAAGCGGAGGAAAAGAAACUAACAAGGAUUCCCUUAGUAACGGCGAGUGAAGCGGGAAGAGCUCAAAUUUGAAAUCUUCAAGGUUUUACCUUGACGAAUUGUAGUUUAAAGAAGUGUUUUCUGUUGAAGCUUUGGUAAAAGUUCUUUGGAAUAGGACAUCAUAGAGGGUGAGAAUCCCGUAUUUGACCAUUACUUUCAGCUUUGUGAUACACUUUCAAAGAGUCGGAUUGUUUGGGAAUGCAGUCCAAAAUGGGUGGUAAAUUUCAUCUAAAGCUAAAUAUUGGCGAGAGACCGAUAGCGAACAAGUACCGUGAGGGAAAGAUGAAAAGAACUUUGAAAAGAGAGUUAAACAGUACGUGAAAUUGUCAAAAGGGAAGCGUUUGACACCAGUGUUGUUUUCUCGAAAUCAAUUAAAAAGAGUUGGAUUUUGUGUUGUAUUGACUUUAUCAGCUUUCUUCACUCUUUUCCAGCUUUUUUUAAUGCACUUUUCGUUUAACAAGUCAACAUCAGUUUCUUUUGUUGUAAAAAGGUCAUUGGAAGGUGGCUUUCUCUUCGGAGAAAGUGUUUAUAGCCUUUGACUCAUGCAAUCGGAGAGACUGAGGUCUGCAGCGUAGAUCCUUCGGGGUUAGAUACAUUUGUGCUAAGUUAUAGCUUUUCAUAGACAACUUGUUGACUAUGUUUAGUCUUGUAGCUUACUCGCUUAUGCUAUUUUACCUACGCUUAGGAUGUUGAACUCUAUCACACACAG
Molecule: ribosomal RNA, 773 nt
Filed under: uncultured Neocallimastigales
Lineage: Eukaryota; Fungi; Neocallimastigomycota; Neocallimastigomycetes; Neocallimastigales
Description: partial large subunit ribosomal RNA
Rfam family: Eukaryotic large subunit ribosomal RNA
Source: RNAcentral